This 96-nucleotide small nuclear RNA is filed under the name Neogale vison (American mink). The record is from RNAcentral. Lineage: Eukaryota; Metazoa; Chordata; Mammalia; Carnivora; Mustelidae.
GUGCUCUCUUCAGCAGCACAUAUACUAAAACUGGAAAGAUAACAUGGCCCCUUGCACAAGAAUGACACUCAAAUCCAUGAAGCUUUCCCUGUUUUU